AUGGCAUCACUAUUUUUAGUACAUGUCCAGCAAGACAAUGUAUUAAGGACUAAUACGAUCAUCACUCAACAGGCAUUGCAAUUUAAAACGAUAAGAUCUACUAUCUUGACCGUACAUAACAGAAAAGCUCUAGCAUUUCCCUCCAGUUCUACUACUUCUUGCUCAUCAAGCUUCUUGUUCUGGGAGAGACCACACCAAGAAAACACGAUUGAGUUGAGCACAGACAAGUACAGAUGCAUGAUCAAGAACAGAGUUAAAUUUAUCUUGUGUAGAAAUUCUCUCAAUUGUCAGAAAGGGGAGACUUUGAUAAAAACUUCUUCUAUCCAUCUGUAG
Molecule: ribosomal RNA, 333 nt
Filed under: Triticum aestivum (bread wheat)
Lineage: Eukaryota; Viridiplantae; Streptophyta; Magnoliopsida; Poales; Poaceae
Description: partial small subunit ribosomal RNA
Source: RNAcentral